Vicia villosa (hairy vetch) is the source of this 3630-nucleotide long non-coding RNA. RefSeq lists it as uncharacterized. NCBI's taxonomy places the organism in Eukaryota, Viridiplantae, Streptophyta, Magnoliopsida, Fabales, Fabaceae. The record is from RefSeq and is a predicted model, not a curated record. The transcript is spliced from 3 exons.
UAACCCUUAUUCUCACACCCUCUCUCCCUAUUCUCACAAACACAAAUUAUCUUCUCCUCCUUCUCUCAAAGAUCGAACUUCACUUUCUCCCAUGAAUACCAUAACAAAUUCAUAGCUUGUUGAAGAACAUCAAGAACAAUUUCAAAAAGAAACUCAAGAACUUACAUCUUCCUCUCACGGUAGAACCGAGACGCACCUCUUUCCUCCACAAACCGCCAUCGAAGCCCUCAGGGUUAGCAACAGGAUUUUACCUCCGACUACCAACCACACAGAAUUCCAGCUAAGUAUUUUUUUUAAUAAUAAUUUUUAUUAUUUUUAUGCAUCAACAAUUUUGCUUAUUUUCUUUUCCUUUCUUUUUUUUUAUUAUAACUUUUUUAUUUAUAUUUUUAUAAAAUAAUUUCUAUAGUAAAUUUUAAUCAUUAAUAUUUAACCGAAAACCCGAUUUUUCACAAAUAAUUGUUUUCUCUCUCUCUCUCUCUCUAUAUAUAUAUAUAUAUAUAUAUAUAUAUAUAUAUAUAUUAAAAUUCGAAUAUACUUUUAAUUAAUUGAUAAAUUAGGAUUAACCUUUAUGUUUAUUUUAACCCUUGUUCUAUUUAAUUGAUUUCUUAGCCUUUUCAUUAACCUUUCAAGGUUUCCGUAACAUCAUUUAUUUUUUAUUAUUAUUUGUCUUUUGGGUCACAAUAAAUUUUCUUUUAUUUUUUUUAAUCCAUUAAGGGUUGUAGAUCCUUCAUACACUAAAAUUAUUUUCUUUUAUGCAAAUUUUCAGGGUUAAUCAGUAUCCUCCGACUACGCGCCAUGGCAAUUGAAAAGCUAAGUUUCCAAUCUUUGUUUUAUUUUAUUUAAAUAUUAUUUUCUUUUUGCCUUUUGCCCAAAAUAGGGUUUGCUUCGAAUAGUCAAUACACUCACCCCUUAUUUAUUUUCCUCUUAAUUUGCAGAGUCAACCAAGGGUUUGAGGAAGAUCAAGGCAUUCAAUAUACACAAAUUAAUUAUUGCCCUCUAUUAUUUUCUGCUUUUCCCCUUUCCCGCAGGUGUUUAUUGUAAUAGCGUAGGAAUUUUAUUUUCUGCUUUUAUUUUAUUUUAACUGCGUGGUUAGUAAAAUAGGGAGUGCAAGAUUAUGAAUUAAACGUAGAUCACCUAACUACAAGAUAAAUGUCAUCGAAGUUAACACAUGAUUGUUGCACCCACACACCUUUAGGGUAACCCCUCUUGUUGCCUUAUACUGUUGCCUGCCUAUAUUGUUGCCUAUGCCUUAAUUAUUGUUGCCUUUAAAUGGUCAAGUCCCUCGAUCCCGAGGAUACCUAAAGCAAACGUUGCCUUCAAAGUUAUUGAAACUCCCUCGAUGUUGCCUUAUAAAAACAACUGUCCCAAUUGCUAAGGUAUCCUCGCCUGUUGCCUAAAGAUUAAAUGACUAUUAUAUCCUUCCCUUAGACUACCUGCCCUCUUUAUGGCAAGGGACAGUCUUAUGGCGAACGAUACUCUCGAUGACCCUUAACAUCCAAUUGAAAGACUUCCUACCCUCUUAUGGUAUGGAUAGACACUUUCGCCCGAAAGGCUAAAAGAACGAUUUUUUUCUAAACUUAGGGUAAGUAGCUUUUAAAUUGCUUGCUCAAUUCAAACUUAAAAUUCAAAAUCUUUUUCCCACUCUUUUCAAAAUCAAAAAGACUACGCUUAUUUACAAGCUAAAGUUCUUCUUCAAAGUUUUUACUUUUCACACCUCCUUUGAAACAAUUCAAACAAAGUGAGCUAAGCAAUUAAGAGCCCAUGGAAAACCAUGGAUGCAAAGGGUGCCUUACACCUUCCCUUUGCAUAAAUUACCCCCCGAACUCAAAAUCUUUUUAAAAGGUCUUUUUCUGUUCUUUUAGCCUUUCCAAUUGGAUAAAAUAAAAGUCGGUGGCGACUCAUGCUUAACCGCGACAUUUUUCAAUUAUAAAAAGUCAGUUCACCGUAUUACAGUAGGCUAAAAGGUGACUAAAGACCUGUUCCUAUGUUUAUAAGAAACCUGAUGGGUCCUUGUAUACAAGCUCAAGAGGAAGCUGGAAAUGCUUUUAAGAAGCCUGUGGGUCCUUGUACAAAGCCCAAGAGGAGGCUAAUCGAGGGUCCUUGUUAUAGCACAAGAGAAAGCUUAUGUAGUUUUGAACUUAUUUUGGCUCUAAGCAAAUGGGUAAGAGGUUUCACCGGGAAUAAUUCCUCUUUGGGUGGAUGUGUCCUAUUACUUUUGGAUUCUAAGGUUUUUGCCAAGAUGUUUCACCGGGAAUAAUUCAUCUUGGGGGUUUGAACUACAGAUCUCUAAUUAGGAAAGAGCCUUCACCGGGAAGACAUUCUCAAUCCUAGUAAUUUAAACAAAGACUGUAAAUUGAAAGCUUGUAAAGCCUAACCUGGAUGGAGUGGAGGCCAUUGAAGAAAAGAAGUGAAGAUGGACAAAGGUCACAUAGGUAUCUGAAGAGUUUCACCGGGAAUAAUGCCCUUCAAAUACCAGAAGAAUGUUUUUGAAAACAGAAAGAAGAUUUUGAAAAUACAGUUUUGAAAACAAGCUAAGAAGAGAAGGUUUUUGGGACUUACACUCUAUUAGAGGCCCACUUAAAAAUGAUUUACUGUUUAUGAAAACAGUUGAAGAAAAGAUUGAAAUGAUAUAAGGUUUUGUUGUUUGAAAACCUUAAUCAUAUGUUUAAUCGGAGAUUGAAAACAAUUUUGUAGAUUGACAAAAGUCAACUUAAUUAAGGCAAAGAUGAAAUCUAUACCUAAUUAAGACCUAAAUAAAUAGGGUUUUUAUCAUAACAUUAUUCACAAAGUAAUUAGGUUAAAACAAAAUGAAUAUAUAUAUUUUAAAGUAUUUAAGAAAACAUUUAAAACAUACUAUUUUAAACCUAAUUAAAAUACAUGAAAUAAAUAAUAUUUUUAUGAUUUUUUUUGAUUAUUUAUAAAAUAUAUAUAUUAAUCAACAAGUGUUUAAAAAAUGAAGUCAAAAUGAAUUAAUUUGAUAAGUUAAAUAAUUGGUUAAAGUUGUGAAGGAAUUAAGUUAGAAAAGUGAUAAAAAAAUAGGUUUUGGUCCUAGCAAGGCUUGAACUCACGCCCUUAUAGCCACACACUCAAAACAACACCACUGAUCCAAACGCCAGUUGGUGACUAUAACGCGCGCGCAUUUGGUUUUGUUUUAAAACAAGUUAGAAAAAUCUGAAAAAAAUAAAAGGAUGAAAAAGUCUGGGGCGAGGGGGAUUCGAACCCCAGACUUGUGGCAUGAUGAUACUAAGGGCGCAUGUGUGGCCACUAGGGCAAGUUGUUUAGUCGUUAAUAAAACGCAUACCAUUCAAAAUAAAAUAAAACCUGCCCUGAGAUUUCAAAUUUGCGCGCCACCACCAUCUUCGUCUUCAACCUCAAACUCUCCAUUUUUGGAUUUCUGAACUCACUUGUUUCUCAACCAUUUGUCAUGAUGUAAACACGAAACUUGCUCUAAUUUCACUCACGAUUCUAAAUAUGUAACUAACAUGAACUAUCAUUAACUACAUCUAACUAAUUUAUCAGAAAUCGUGAAGAACCCUAAAAUUUCAAAAUCAAAUUAAAUGACUAUACUGAAAGAUAAAUGGAUGAUGAUAGAGGGUUUUCAAUCCUCUGAUGAUGCUGAACAAGAUAGAA